RNAcentral lists this ribosomal RNA (492 nucleotides) under uncultured bacterium. RNAcentral's name for it is "partial 16S ribosomal RNA". It matches the Rfam family "Bacterial small subunit ribosomal RNA", at positions 30 to 507 of the family's 1533-position model. The record is from RNAcentral.
AUUGAACGCUGGCGGCAUGCCUAACACAUGCAAGUCGAACGGCAGCACAGUGAAGCUUUCUUCUUGGGGGUCGAGUGUGGCAGGGGGGAGUAGUAUAUCGGGGCAUAUACAGUUUCGGGGGGUAACUAAUCGGGAGAUUAACUAAUAUCCCACAUUCGCUGAGGGGGAAAACGGGGGGCCUUCUGGCCUUGCGUUAGACUGACUGCGCCGAUGUGGGAUUAGCUAGUUGGGGGGGUAAAGGCCCACCAAGGCGACGAUCCGUAGCUGGUCUGAGAGGAUGAUCCGCCACACUGGAACUGAGACACGGCCCAGACUCCUACGGGAGGCAGCAGUGGGGAAUUUUGGACAAUGGGCGCAAGCCUGAUCCAGCCAUACCGCGUGUCUGAAGAAGGCCUUCGGGUUGUAAAGCCCUUUUGUCGGGAAAGAAAAGCCUGUGGCUAAUACCCAGAGCUUAUGACGGUACCUAAAGAAUAAGCACCGGCUAACUACGUG